This 170-nucleotide ribosomal RNA is filed under the name uncultured Pseudomonas sp. RNAcentral's name for it is "partial 16S ribosomal RNA". It matches the Rfam family "Bacterial small subunit ribosomal RNA", at positions 355 to 509 of the family's 1533-position model. The record is from RNAcentral. Lineage: Bacteria; Pseudomonadati; Pseudomonadota; Gammaproteobacteria; Pseudomonadales; Pseudomonadaceae.
UGGGGAUAUUUGAGACAAUGGGCGAAGCCGUGAUACCCAGCCAUGCCGCGUGUAGUGAAGAAGGUCUUCGGAUUGUAAAGCACUUUAAGUUGGGAGGAAGGGCAGUUAGCUUAAUACCUUGACUGUUUUGACGUUACCGACAGAAGUAAGCACCGGCUAUACUCUGUGCG